This 293-nucleotide ribosomal RNA is filed under the name uncultured bacterium. Its description in RNAcentral is "partial 16S ribosomal RNA". It matches the Rfam family "Bacterial small subunit ribosomal RNA", at positions 775 to 1067 of the family's 1533-position model. The record is from RNAcentral.
GGAUUAGAUACCCUGGUAGUCCACGCCGUAAACGAUGUCUACUAGCCGUUGGGGAACUUGAUUCUUUAGUGGCGCAGCUAACGCACUAAGUAGACCGCCUGGGGAGUACGGCCGCAAGGUUAAAACUCAAAUGAAUUGACGGGGGCCCGCACAAGCGGUGGAGCAUGUGGUUUAAUUCGAUGCAACGCGAAGAACCUUACCUGGUCUUGACAUCCACAGAACUUUCUAGAGAUAGAUUGGUGCCUUCGGGAACUGUGAGACAGGUGCUGCAUGGCUGUCGUCAGCUCGUGCCG